Molecule: ribosomal RNA, 753 nt
Filed under: uncultured Actinomycetes bacterium
Lineage: Bacteria; Bacillati; Actinomycetota; Actinomycetes
Description: bacterial SSU rRNA
Rfam family: Bacterial small subunit ribosomal RNA
Source: RNAcentral
CGAUGAACGCUGGCGGCGUGCUUAACACAUGCAAGUCCAACGGUGAAGCAGGAGCUUGCUCCUGUGGAUCAGUGGCGAACGGGUGAGUAACACGUGAGCAAUCUGCCCUGGACUCCGGGAUAAGCGUUGGAAACGACGUCUAAUACCGGAUACGAGGCGUGGGGGCAUCCCCAACGCCUGGAAAGAACUUCGGUCCAGGAUGAGCUCGCGGCCUAUCAGGUAGUUGGUGAGGUAACGGCUCACCAAGCCUACGACGGGUAGCCGGCCUGAGAGGGUGACCGGCCACACUGGGACUGAGACACGGCCCAGACUCCUACGGGAGGCAGCAGUGGGGAAUAUUGCACAAUGGGCGCAAGCCUGAUGCAGCAACGCCGCGUGAGGGACGACGGCCUUCGGGUUGUAAACCUCUUUUAGCAGGGAAGAAGCGAAAGUGACGGUACCUGCAGAAAAAGCACCGGCUAACUACGUGCCAGCAGCCGCGGUAAUACGUAGGGUGCAAGCGUUAUCCGGAAUUAUUGGGCGUAAAGAGCUCGUAGGCGGUCUGUCGCGUCUGCUGUGAAAACCCGAGGCUCAACCUCGGGCCUGCAGUGGGUACGGCAGACUAGAGUGCGGUAGGGGAGAUUGGAAUUCCUGGUGUAGCGGUGGAAUGCGCAGAUAUCAAGGAGGAACCACCGAUGGCGAAAGGCAGAAUUCUCUUGGGCCGUUAACUGACGCUUGGAGGGAGCGAAAGCGUGUGGGGGAGCCGAAACAAGG